This 1401-nucleotide ribosomal RNA is filed under the name human gut metagenome. RNAcentral's name for it is "bacterial SSU rRNA". It matches the Rfam family "Bacterial small subunit ribosomal RNA". The record is from RNAcentral.
AGAGUUUGAUCCUGGCUCAGAUUGAACGCUGGCGGCAGGCCUAACACAUGCAAGUCGAACGGUAACAGGAAGAAGCUUGCUUCUUUGCUGACGAGUGGCGGACGGGUGAGUAAUGUCUGGGAAACUGCCUGAUGGAGGGGGAUAACUACUGGAAACGGUAGCUAAUACCGCAUAACGUCGCAAGACCAAAGAGGGGGACCUUCGGGCCUCUUGCCAUCGGAUGUGCCCAGAUGGGAUUAGCUAGUAGGUGGGGUAACGGCUCACCUAGGCGACGAUCCCUAGCUGGUCUGAGAGGAUGACCAGCCACACUGGAACUGAGACACGGUCCAGACUCCUACGGGAGGCAGCAGUGGGGAAUAUUGCACAAUGGGCGCAAGCCUGAUGCAGCCAUGCCGCGUGUAUGAAGAAGGCCUUCGGGUUGUAAAGCACUUUCAGCGGGGAGGAAGGCGGUGAGGUUAAUACCUUUGCUCAUUGACGUUACCCGCAGAAGAAGCACCGGCUAACUCCGUGCCAGCAGCCGCGGUAAUACGGAGGGUGCAAGCGUUAAUCGGAAUUACUGGGCGUAAAGCGCACGCAGGCGGUCUGUCAAGUCGGAUGUGAAAGCCCUCGGCUUAACCGAGGAAGUGCAUCGGAAACUGGGAAACUUGAGUGCAGAAGAGGACAGUGGAACUCCAUGUGUAGCGGUGAAAUGCGUAGAUAUAUGGAAGAACACCAGUGGCGAAGGCGGCUGUCUGGUCUGUAACUGACGCUGAGGCUCGAAAGCGUGGGGAGCGAACAGGAUUAGAUACCCUGGUAGUCCACGCCGUAAACGAUGAGUGCUAAGUGUUGGAGGGUUUCCGCCCUUCAGUGCUGCAGCAAACGCAUUAAGCACUCCGCCUGGGGAGUACGACCGCAAGGUUGAAACUCAAAGGAAUUGACGGGGGCCCGCACAAGCGGUGGAGCAUGUGGUUUAAUUCGAAGCAACGCGAAGAACCUUACCAGGUCUUGACAUCUUUUGAUCACCUGAGAGAUCAGGUUUCCCCUUCGGGGGCAAAAUGACAGGUGGUGCAUGGUUGUCGUCAGCUCGUGCCGGGAGAUGUUGGGUUAAGUCCCGCAACGAGCGCAACCCUUAUUGUUAGUUGCCAUCAUUUAGUUGGGCACUCUAGCAAGACUGCCGGUGACAAACCGGAGGAAGGUGGGGAUGACGUCAAAUCAUCAUGCCCCUUAUGACCUGGGCUACACACGUGCUACAAUGGGAAGUACAACGAGUCGCAAAGUCGCGAGGCUAAGCUAAUCUCUUAAAGCUUCUCUCAGUUCGGAUUGUAGGCUGCAACUCGCCUACAUGAAGCCGGAAUCGCUAGUAAUCGCGGAUCAGCACGCCGCGGUGAAUACGUUCCCGGGCCUUGCACACAACGCCCGUCA